UACAACCAUAUCAUGUUGAAACACCGGUUACGUAUGAUCACUAAAGUUAAGCAAUGUUCAGUCUGAUCAGUACUUAGAUGGGUGACCGUUUGGGAAUACUAGGUGCUGUAA
Non-coding RNA from Acanthosepion pharaonis, 111 nucleotides. The record is from the annotation of a GenBank genome assembly. Lineage: Eukaryota; Metazoa; Mollusca; Cephalopoda; Sepiida; Sepiidae.